CCUACGGGAGGCAGCAGUGGGGAAUAUUGGACAAUGGGCGCAAGCCUGAUCCAGCAAUACCGCGUGAGUGAUGAAGGUCUUCGGAUUGUAAAGCUCUUUUAGUGGAGAAGAUAAUGACGGUAUCCACAGAAAAAGCACCGGCAAACUUCGUGCCAGCAGCCGCGGUAAUACGAAGGGUGCUAGCGUUGUUCGGAAUCAUUGGGCGUAAAGCGUACGUAGGCGGUUUAGUAAGUCGAUUGUGAAAUACCCGAGCUCAACUUGGGAAUUGCAAUCGAAACUGCUUUGCUAGAGUUUAGUGGGGGAUAGUGGAAUUCCUAGUGUAGGGGUGAAAUCCGUAGAUAUUAGGAGGAACAUCAGUGGCGAAGGCGACUAUCUACGCUAAUACUGACGCUAAGGUACGAAAGCGUGGGGAGCAAACAGGAUUAGAUACCCUGGUAGUCCACGCAGUAAACGAUGAGUGCUAGUUGUCGGGGUCUUAGACUUCGGUGGCGAAGCUAACGCGUUAAGCACUCCGCCUGGGGACUACGGUCGCAAGACUAAAACUCAAAUGAAUUGACGG
This 559-nucleotide ribosomal RNA is filed under the name uncultured bacterium. Its description in RNAcentral is "bacterial SSU rRNA". It matches the Rfam family "Bacterial small subunit ribosomal RNA", at positions 338 to 916 of the family's 1533-position model. The record is from RNAcentral.